AGCAGUAUGGCCUAUUGGAAAGAGCAUAGGCCUGGGAGUCAGAGGAUCUGGGUUCUAAUCCUGGUUCUGCUA
Molecule: transfer RNA, 72 nt
Filed under: Ornithorhynchus anatinus (platypus)
Lineage: Eukaryota; Metazoa; Chordata; Mammalia; Monotremata; Ornithorhynchidae
Rfam family: tRNA
About the family: Transfer RNA (tRNA) molecules are approximately 80 nucleotides in length. Their secondary structure includes four short double-helical elements and three loops (D, anti-codon, and T loops).
Source: Rfam by way of RNAcentral